AUGACGACCGGCGCACGGGUGAGUAACACGUAUGUAAUCUACCUUCUACACCGGGAUAGCCCGUCGAAAGACGGAUUAAUACCAGAUAAUACAGGGAUACCGCAUGGUAAAAUUUGUUAAAGAUUUAUCGGUAGAAGAUGAGCAUGCGUUCCAUUAGCCAGUUGGUGAGGUAACGGCUCACCAAAGCAACGAUGGAUAGGGGAACUGAGAGGUUUAUCCCCCACACUGGUACUGAGACACGGACCAG
Molecule: ribosomal RNA, 247 nt
Filed under: uncultured bacterium
Lineage: Bacteria
Description: partial 16S ribosomal RNA
Rfam family: Bacterial small subunit ribosomal RNA
Source: RNAcentral